This 70-nucleotide transfer RNA is filed under the name Thalassotalea insulae. RNAcentral's name for it is "tRNA-Thr". The record is from RNAcentral. Lineage: Bacteria; Pseudomonadati; Pseudomonadota; Gammaproteobacteria; Alteromonadales; Colwelliaceae.
AGUUAAGUGGUCAUUAUAGGUAAGACUUGUAAUCAGUAGGUCGCCAGUUCGACUCCGGCAGUCGGCACCA